GCUGGUUUAAAGAAACCUUUGCUACAGUUCUCAGAGAGAAUCUGCUGGUCUUGAUUCACUGGUGUGGGCAGUAAGUGCUCCCGGUAGUGCCCAGAGCAGAAACAUAG
This 107-nucleotide small nucleolar RNA is filed under the name Myotis davidii. Its description in RNAcentral is "Small nucleolar RNA SNORA3/SNORA45 family". It matches the Rfam family "Small nucleolar RNA SNORA3/SNORA45 family", at positions 20 to 131 of the family's 131-position model. From Rfam's summary of the family: The members of this family belong to the H/ACA class of snoRNAs which are thought to guide the sites of modification of uridines to pseudouridines. Lineage: Eukaryota; Metazoa; Chordata; Mammalia; Chiroptera; Vespertilionidae. The record is from Rfam by way of RNAcentral.